GCCAGUUUGACAUAGUGGUUUGAGUGUUGGACUAUGACUCUGGAUGCCAGGGUUCGAUUCUCAGCUUAGUCA
Non-coding RNA from Phrynosoma platyrhinos (Desert horned lizard), 72 nucleotides. NCBI's taxonomy places the organism in Eukaryota, Metazoa, Chordata, Lepidosauria, Squamata, Phrynosomatidae. The record is from the annotation of a GenBank genome assembly.